RNAcentral lists this ribosomal RNA (499 nucleotides) under uncultured Glomeromycotina. RNAcentral's name for it is "partial small subunit ribosomal RNA". It matches the Rfam family "Eukaryotic small subunit ribosomal RNA", at positions 591 to 1092 of the family's 1831-position model. The record is from RNAcentral. Lineage: Eukaryota; Fungi; Glomeromycota.
CCAAUAGCGUAUAUUAAAGUUGUUACAGUUAAAAAGCUCGUAGUUGAAUUUUGGGAUCAAUGGGUUGGUCAUGCCCUCGGUAUGUACUGAUUUCAUUGGUUCUCACCUUCUAAGGAACCAUGAUGUCAUUCGUUUGAUGUUGUGGGGAAUUAGGACUGUUACCUUGAAAAAAUUAGAGUGUUUAAAGCAGGCUAACGUUUGAAUACAUUAGCAUGGAAUAAUGAAAUAGGACAUCCGAUUCUAUUUUAUUGGUUUUUAGGAUCGAUGUAAUGAUUAAUAGGGAUAGUUGGAGGCAUUAGUAUUCAAUUGUCAGAGGUGAAAUUCUUGGAUUUAUUGAAGACUAACUACUGCGAAAGCAUUUGCCAAGGAUGUUUUCAUUAAUCAAGAACGAAAGUUAGAGGAUCGAAGACGAUCAGAUACCGUCGUAGUCUUAACCAUAAACUAUGCCGACUAGGGAUCGGAUGAUGCUUAUUUUUAAUGACUCAUUCGGCACCUUACG